Molecule: non-coding RNA, 172 nt
Organism: Triticum urartu
Lineage: Eukaryota; Viridiplantae; Streptophyta; Magnoliopsida; Poales; Poaceae
Source: RefSeq, a predicted model, not a curated record
CUGCAGCAAUAGGGUUAUGUUUGGAGAACAUGUCAAAAGAAGAAUUAGAAAUGAAUAGAGAUGUAUUAAAUUAUAUUCUUCAAGGAGUAAGCUGUAGGUUAGAGAGCCCAAUUGAUUUAGUCCGGAAGAUGGCAAGUGCUGUUGCAUUGACAUUUUCUAAAGUCGUUGAUCC